GCCGGGGUGGUGGAAUUGGCAGACACGUACGUUUGAGGGGCGUAUGGGUAACUCCGUGCGGGUUCAAGUCCCGCCCCCGGCA
Molecule: transfer RNA, 82 nt
Filed under: bacterium
Lineage: Bacteria
Also listed under: 4 other names
Description: tRNA-Leu
Rfam family: tRNA
About the family: Transfer RNA (tRNA) molecules are approximately 80 nucleotides in length.
Source: RNAcentral